This is a long non-coding RNA of Camelus dromedarius (Arabian camel), 199 nucleotides long. RefSeq lists it as uncharacterized. Lineage: Eukaryota; Metazoa; Chordata; Mammalia; Artiodactyla; Camelidae. The transcript has 3 exons. The record is from RefSeq and is a predicted model, not a curated record.
GUAAAUACCAAGAAGUAUGAUUGCUGGAUCUGCUGGAUCAUAUGGGUGAAGGUGAUCCAGAUCCCUCUGGCUUAAGAGCAUUUAGGGUACAAUUUCAAUGUAUUUGGGAGCUCUGAUGAACCUUCAGACUGUGAAAAUAUUCAUGAAAACCUUACUACGAGACCCUGCAUCAUGAGAGGGAGUCCAGUGGUGGUUAAGA